AAGAAACAUUUCUUCUUUCACUACCCUACCUACCCAUAUCGCCAUCCUUGAUUCUCUUCUUCUCCCUUCAUUUCUUGAUCUCUUCUUGCUGCCCUACCUCCUCAUUUCUUCUCUAGUCUUUUACUUUCUCUUUGUUUAAUGACGCAACACCUUAAUGCCGUAGUCAAACGCUGCUACACAGCAACACCACAGCGCACAACCUUGCAAUACCACAAGGCAUAACGCCGCAGUACUGCAACACUGAAGCACCACAGACCCAUAACACUUCCUUUUCUAUUUCUUUUAUUUUUUCAGUUUAUUUUUUGCAUUUUUUAAUGUUGCUCUAUCUUGUUUUGGACAAUUGUGAUUUUGAUGAUUAUGGUUUUGAGUUACUAAAAAUUUUGUAUAUCAUUGAUUUAUUUAUGUGUUGAUGAAAAUUUUUGUUAUUAU
Molecule: unclassified non-coding RNA, 429 nt
Filed under: Hevea brasiliensis (rubber tree)
Lineage: Eukaryota; Viridiplantae; Streptophyta; Magnoliopsida; Malpighiales; Euphorbiaceae
Source: RNAcentral